AGCGAACGCUGGCGGCAGGCCUAACACAUGCAAGUCGAACGGAUCCUUCGGGAUUAGUGGCGGACGGGUGAGUAACACGUGGGAACGUGCCCUUUGGUUCGGAACAACUCAGGGAAACUUGAGCUAAUACCGGACGUGCCCUUCGGGGGAAAGAUUUAUCGACCUUGGAGCGGCCCGCGUCUGAUUAGCUAGUUGGUGAGGUAACGGCCCACCAAGGCGUCGAUCAGUAGCUGGUCAGAGAGGAUGAUCAGCCACACUGGGACUGAGACACGGCCCAGACUCCUACGGGAGGCAGCAGUGGGGAAUCUUGCGCAGUGGGCGAAAGCCUGACGCAGCCAUGCCGCGUAAAUGGUGAAGGUAUUAGGAUUGUAAAAUUCUUUCAGCGGGGACGAUAAUGACGGUACCCGCAGAGGAAGCUCCGGCUAACUUCGUG
This 433-nucleotide ribosomal RNA is filed under the name uncultured bacterium. RNAcentral's name for it is "partial 16S ribosomal RNA". It matches the Rfam family "Bacterial small subunit ribosomal RNA", at positions 29 to 507 of the family's 1533-position model. The record is from RNAcentral.